GUGGGGAAUCUUGCGCAAUGGGCGAAAGCCUGACGCAGCCAUGCCGCGUGAAUGAUGAAGGUCUUAGGAUUGUAAAAUUCUUUCACCGGGGACGAUAAUGACGGUACCCGGAGAAGAAGCUCCGGCUAACUUCGUGCCAGCAGCCGCGGUAAUACGAAGGGGGCUAGCGUUGCUCGGAAUUACUGGGCGUAAAGGGCGCGUAGGCGGACAGCUUAGUCAGAGGUGAACGCUGAGGGCUCAACCUUGGAAUUGCCUUUGAUACUGGCUGUCUUGAGUUUGGGAGAGGUGAGUGGAACUCCGAGUGUAGAGGUGAAAUGCGUAGAUAUUCGGAAGAACACCAGUGGCGAAGGCGACUCACUGGCCCAAUACUGACGCUGAGGCGCGAAAGCGUGGGGAGCAAACAGGAUUAGAUACCCUGGUAGUCC
Molecule: ribosomal RNA, 425 nt
Filed under: uncultured bacterium
Lineage: Bacteria
Description: partial 16S ribosomal RNA
Rfam family: Bacterial small subunit ribosomal RNA
Source: RNAcentral